This is a non-coding RNA of Podarcis muralis (Common wall lizard), 1151 nucleotides long. NCBI's taxonomy places the organism in Eukaryota, Metazoa, Chordata, Lepidosauria, Squamata, Lacertidae. The record is from RefSeq and is a predicted model, not a curated record.
GUAGCCCCCAACGAAAGCAAAAAGGAGUUUUGGGUUCCAUCUACAUAAAAUGAAGAUGAUAAAGCUCUGAUUGGGCUCAUUUCCAAUUGUUGUAGUUUGACUUCUUUGUGAAAGUGGCAGUCCAUGUAACAUGUGGUAAGAUGACAUGCAAGAGGAUGGGGAUGGGGCAAUGGACAGGCGAGCCAAAGAUGCAUAGCUGCAAUUCUGGGCGCUGCAUCUCCCAUUUGUCCCUGGCCACUGAGCAUGCUGGCUGAAGCUGAUGGGAGUCCUAGUCCUGCGACUUUUGGAGGACCCCAGGUUCCCCACCCCAGCCAGCCAGAGUGAGGUGGCAGGUGCAGGUAGCUUGAUUCUGGACUGUGUCACUUCCAUUGGUAGGCAUGACAUCAUAUUUUUUGAAUGCUCUUAACAAAAUACCUCCCUUCCUGUGUAAGCAUAUAUGAGAUGCGCGAACCCUAUGCGCGCGCAGAGUCGCUCUCUCCUGCGAGGGAGAAGGCCGGCCCCCACCUUCGCGCGUGUUGCUGUUGUGGUCGUGCGUGAGGAAGGGGCGGCAAGCUGCAGUUCCUCGCCCACGAGAGGCUCCGUUUGGCUUCCGCAGCCCACCCGCACCAUCCCUCCACAAAGGGGCACGAGAGGAAGGCCACUGGGGGAGAAAGGCAGUCUCUUCCUGGUUUCUGAUUUUCCCAGUCAAUUUCCAAUUUCGCCAUGUCAACCAUUCAUCUCUGCUCAGGACUUUAUCUUCUUUGCAAUAGUAUCCACACUGCUGUCAUCGCCUACAUAAAUAGUCAUUUCUGCUCCUUUGGAAUUUCUGCACCUAAAAUACCUGGUGUUAUGUAUUGAAGUUCUCACCCUGGCCACCUGGAGUAUCGUGUAUAGUAUAUAGUUUUCACACAGAUCCACAUCAGUUACUUUAGGCGGGAAACCCUGGGUUGUUGUUGCUACAAUGUUGACAGCCGGCUGCCUAUAAAAGCAGGCCGGCUGAGCUGUUUGCUAUUCUGUUCUGUUCCAGCUUACAAAUAAAGAGCUGCUUUGGAGAAAUUGCUGUGUUGUCUGCUAUGUCUACCCACUAUUUAACACCUAAUAAAAGACUCUGGAUUUUUCGCAAACGUUACUUUAAACAUUUUUUUCAAUUUAUUAUAAAUCAUUUCUCAGAA